Molecule: ribosomal RNA, 553 nt
Filed under: Cladosporium cladosporioides
Lineage: Eukaryota; Fungi; Ascomycota; Dothideomycetes; Cladosporiales; Cladosporiaceae
Description: eukaryotic LSU rRNA
Rfam family: 5.8S ribosomal RNA (bases 188-341)
Source: RNAcentral
UCUCCGUAGGUGAACCUGCGGAGGGAUCAUUACAAGUGACCCCGGUUUACCACCGGGAUGUUCAUAACCCUUUGUUGUCCGACUCUGUUGCCUCCGGGGCGACCCUGCCUUCGGGCGGGGGCUCCGGGUGGACACUUCAAACUCCUGCGUAACUUUGCAGUCUGAGUAAACUUAAUUAAUAAAUUAAAACUUUUAACAACGGAUCUCUUGGUUCUGGCAUCGAUGAAGAACGCAGCGAAAUGCGAUAAGUAAUGUGAAUUGCAGAAUUCAGUGAAUCAUCGAAUCUUUGAACGCACAUUGCGCCCCCUGGUAUUCCGGGGGGCAUGCCUGUUCGAGCGUCAUUUCACCACUCAAGCCUCGCUUGGUAUUGGGCAACGCGGUCCGCCGCGUGCCUCAAAUCGACCGGCUGGGUCUUCUGUCCCCUCAGCGUUGUGGAAACUAUUCGCUAAAGGGUGCUCGGGAGGCUACGCCGUAAAACAACCCCAUUUCUAAGGUUGACCUCGGAUCAGGUAGGGAUACCCGCUGAACUUAAGCAUAUCAAUAAGCCGGAGGA